GUUGACGUGAUGACCAUUAUUUGAUAGUAUCGAACCAUACAUGGGGCAGCAUGAAAGCCCAUCCUAAGAUAGAGAUUUCGAGUCUUGACUUGGACAAGAUCGGUGGAACAACUUAUUGGGCCCCUUGGAUCAGCUGCACGGUCGCUUGGAGAAAACAAAUUUUUUCUUCAUACAGCCUUCCAACAAGGCUCAUGCAUAGCCAAAUUAGCACACUACCGAUUACUCAGAU
This 229-nucleotide long non-coding RNA is filed under the name Elaeis guineensis (African oil palm). RNAcentral's name for it is "long non-coding RNA (EGUI_LNC001731)". Lineage: Eukaryota; Viridiplantae; Streptophyta; Magnoliopsida; Arecales; Arecaceae. The record is from RNAcentral.